This 55-nucleotide transfer RNA is filed under the name Caenorhabditis japonica. RNAcentral describes it as "tRNA-His". The record is from RNAcentral. Lineage: Eukaryota; Metazoa; Nematoda; Chromadorea; Rhabditida; Rhabditidae.
AGCUUAAUAGUUUAUUUAAAAAUAUUUACUUGUGGUGUAAAAGAAUAAAGAGCUU